RNAcentral lists this ribosomal RNA (249 nucleotides) under Escherichia coli. RNAcentral's name for it is "partial 16S ribosomal RNA". It matches the Rfam family "Bacterial small subunit ribosomal RNA", at positions 886 to 1135 of the family's 1533-position model. Lineage: Bacteria; Pseudomonadati; Pseudomonadota; Gammaproteobacteria; Enterobacterales; Enterobacteriaceae. The record is from RNAcentral.
CCGCAAGGUUAAAACUCAAAUGAAUUGACGGGGGCCCGCACAAGCGGUGGAGCAUGUGGUUUAAUUCGAUGCAACGCGAAGAACCUUACCUGGUCUUGACAUCCACGGAAGUUUUCAGAGAUGAGAAUGUGCCUUCGGGAACCGUGAGACAGGUGCUGCAUGGCUGUCGUCAGCUCGUGUUGUGAAAUGUUGGGUUAAGUCCCGCAACGAGCGCAACCCUUAUCCUUUGUUGCCAGCGGUCCGGCCGGG